UUUCCGUAGGUGAACCUGCGGAAGGAUCAUUAUUGAAUGAAACACUUCUGGCUUUAUGCUGUUGUGCUGGCCCUUUGGGCAAUGUGCACACGGCUCUGGUCACUUGUUUCUUCUGUUCCACCUGUGCACUGCCUGUAGACACGCCGUGUCUAUGAUAUCUGUUAACACACAACAAUGUUAGUUGGCAUGUUAUAUAUAAUAAUAAAAUAUACAACUUUCAACAACGGAUCUCUUGGCUCUC
Molecule: unclassified non-coding RNA, 241 nt
Filed under: plant metagenome
Description: partial contains small subunit ribosomal RNA, internal transcribed spacer 1, and 5.8S ribosomal RNA
Source: RNAcentral